GAUGAACGCUGGCGGCGUGCCUAAUACAUGCAAGUCGAGCGAACGGACGAGAAGCUUGCUUCUCUGAUGUUAGCGGCGGACGGGUGAGUAACACGUGGAUAACCUACCUAUAAGACUGGGAUAACUUCGGGAAACCGGAGCUAAUACCGGAUGAUAUUUUGAACCGCAUGGUUCAAAAGUGAAAGACGGUCUUGCUGUCACUUAUAGAUGGAUCCGCGCUGCAUUAGCUAGUUGGUAAGGUAACGGCUUACCAAGGCAACGAUGCAUAGCCGACCUGAGAGGGUGAUCGGCCACCCUGGAACUGAGACACGGUCCAGACUCCUACGGGAGGCAGCAGUAGGGAAUCUUCCGCAAUGGGCGAAAGCCUGACGGAGCAACGCCGCGUGAGUGAUGAAGGUCUUCGGAUCGUAAAACUCUGUUAGUAGGGAAGAACAUAUGUGUAAGUAACUGUGCACAUCUUGACGGUACCUAAUCAGAAAGCCACGGCUAACUACGUG
Molecule: ribosomal RNA, 497 nt
Filed under: uncultured bacterium
Lineage: Bacteria
Description: partial 16S ribosomal RNA
Rfam family: Bacterial small subunit ribosomal RNA
Source: RNAcentral